RNAcentral lists this unclassified non-coding RNA (386 nucleotides) under fungal sp. RNAcentral's name for it is "partial internal transcribed spacer region". The stretch from base 1 to 46 matches the Rfam family "Eukaryotic small subunit ribosomal RNA", at positions 1786 to 1831 of the family's 1831-position model. Lineage: Eukaryota; Fungi. The record is from RNAcentral.
AAGUCGUAACAAGGUAACCGUAGGUGAACCUGCGGUUGGAUCAUUAUUGAAAUUAUAAUCCAAUCUUUUUUUCUCAUAACUUCUGUUAAAAGAAGGCUAUGAGAUUGAAGGAAACAUCAUGUGAACUUGUUUAAUUGUCUCUGGUGGGUUAAAACGAUAAAGUAGUUUGAAAAAAUUACUUUACCCGGAAUGUGUGUGGCUUGGUGUUUGUGGGUAAAUUAUAUUUAUCCAUUCCCACCCCUCCACCCCCAUUUACCCACUAUUUUUUUGUAUAUCAAAACCUGUUCUGUUUAACCUGGACCGAAUUUUUAAAAUGUUUUUUUCCUUUAAAAGAAAAUAACAAAUCAAAAAAAAAACAACUUUUGACAACGGAUCUCUAGGCUCUC